RNAcentral lists this long non-coding RNA (287 nucleotides) under Ananas comosus (pineapple). RNAcentral describes it as "long non-coding RNA (ACOM_LNC019167)". Lineage: Eukaryota; Viridiplantae; Streptophyta; Magnoliopsida; Poales; Bromeliaceae. The record is from RNAcentral.
UGGAGCGAGCUUCGACGGUGUCCUGACUCAUCUGUUUUACUUUUACUUUUGCAUUUACUUCUAUUUUUUCUUUACUUUUUAAUUAAACUUUACCUUUAUUUUCUUUUAUUGCCUUCUUUUUUUUUGGAAGCCUUAGCUGCUUUCACCAUAUAUGUCUAGUUUAUUUUACCUAAUAAAUGAAGCAAAUAGCUUGUUAUAUUUUUCUAAAAAUAAUAAUAAUAAUAAGUGACCUCCACCCUGAAAGGCUUCUCUUCGUGGAGGUGUCAACAAAGCCCUCACUAAAAAUU